UACAGAGGUCUCAAGCGUUGUUCGGAUUCAUUGGGCGUAAAGGGUGCGUAGGCGGCGCGGUAAGUCGGGUGUGAAAUCUCGGAGCUUAACUCCGAAACUGCAUUCGAUACUGCCGUGCUUGAGGACUGGAGAGGAGACUGGAAUUUACGGUGUAGCGGUGAAAUGCGCAGAUAUCAGGAGGAACACCGGUGGCGAAGGCGGAUCUCUGGGCCUUACCUGACGCUCAGGCGCGAAAGCUAGGGGAGCGAACUGG
This 253-nucleotide ribosomal RNA is filed under the name uncultured bacterium. RNAcentral's name for it is "partial 16S ribosomal RNA". It matches the Rfam family "Bacterial small subunit ribosomal RNA", at positions 524 to 776 of the family's 1533-position model. The record is from RNAcentral.